GACGAACGCUGGCGGCGUGCCUAAUACAUGCAAGUCGAGCGGACCGAAGGGAGCUUGCUCCUUUAGGUUAGCGGCGGACGGGUGAGUAACACGUGGGCAACCUGCCCUGCAGACUGGGAUAACUUCGGGAAACCGGAGCUAAUACCGGAUAACACCGAAAACCGCAUGGUUUUCGGUUGAAAGGCGGCUUUUAGCUGUCACUGCAGGAUGGGCCCGCGGCGCAUUAGCUAGUUGGUGAGGUAACGGCUCACCAAGGCGACGAUGCGUAGCCGACCUGAGAGGGUGACCGGCCACACUGGGACUGGGACACGGCCCAGACUCCUGCGGGAGGCAGCAGUAGGGAAUCUUCCGCAAUGGACGAAAGUCUGACGGAGCAACGCCGCGUGAGCGAAGAAGGUCUUCGGAUCGUAAAGCUCUGUUGUCAGGGAAGAACAAGUACCGUUCGAACAGGGCGGUACCUUGACGGUACCUGACGAGGAAGCCACGGCUAACUACGUGCCAGCCGCCGCGGUAA
This 514-nucleotide ribosomal RNA is filed under the name uncultured bacterium. RNAcentral describes it as "partial 16S ribosomal RNA". It matches the Rfam family "Bacterial small subunit ribosomal RNA", at positions 28 to 523 of the family's 1533-position model. The record is from RNAcentral.